This is a long non-coding RNA of Gymnodraco acuticeps, 1283 nucleotides long. RefSeq lists it as uncharacterized. Lineage: Eukaryota; Metazoa; Chordata; Actinopteri; Perciformes; Bathydraconidae. The transcript has 6 exons. The record is from RefSeq and is a predicted model, not a curated record.
UGUAAAAAAAUGCUAACUCACCAGGGUUUUUUGGACUCGUCACUGCAUCACUGACAACAUCCAUUUAUUUCCUACAGACAAGCUAAUAAAGAUGCCUACUCAAAAAGUGUGCCAGACUUGCAAACACAAAAUAGGAGUAGCCAGCAGGAAAUGCAGGCAAUGUGGUGCCAACCAACCCUACAAGGAGGAAACUAUCCAAGCAAAAGGAAAAGGUUGCACAGGAGUGGAAGGCCACGCAACAAAAAAAACCACAGUGUCAACAAAGUUUAUGACUCAACAAAUCUACUGCUCCACAAAUGGAAACUUCUUGAGCGGCAUCCCAAGAGAGGCACAAAUGGUUUUGCGGCCGAUUGCCUCUGUCCAUGGCAAAUUGAGACAGAAGAUGGUAACAAUGCACUUGUUACCAUAAAGAGGAUUUACGAAAGCCUUCUUAAUGUGACUUUGGCAACCUGAGGGUCCUUCAACCACAGGCAGAAAUGGCCACAGACCCAGGAUCAGAUUCCUUGGCCGAGGUGUUGGUGCAGUGGCAGUCCUGCUCUGGAUGUGGGGCGAAGUGGAAACAUUCCUGGGAGCCAAAGGAAAACUUUCCUAAUUAAAUAUGCCUGACUUUUGUUUUUCUACAUUGGAGUAAUAAAAUACAUAUUAAAAAAAACAUCUAUGUAAGUGCCGUGCCUAUUUGUGUUCUUAUGUUAUCAGUGAGCUGAAGCCAAGACAAAUACAAAUAUGUUUUAAGUGUAUCCAUACAAACUCAUUCUCUAAAACUGUCAUGUUUGGUCUGUUGAAUGACACCCAUGAGGAAAAAGGUCCUAUACAUUAUAUCACAUCGGCAGGGCUGUGAUGUGAUGAGGCCCUCGCGAGCGUCGACUGGGGGUGGUGGUGGUGUGUAAACCCCGGACACACCAAGCCGAUUACAGCUAGUGGAGCCUCGCAGCAGAAACUGUGGCGCACUCAAUUGCGCCGCAUUUGCGCAUCAGAUGAGGCUCCCUCCACAAGAUGAGGGCGAGAGGCAGACGCAGUCUGUGUGAUCGGCGUGUAGGGAGGAGCGGGCCUGCACAUCGGCAUAUCACAGACUGGUGCAUACAUUGUACAGGCGGCAAUUUGAAUUGGAAUGCAGCCCACUCACGGCAGACAAACCCAAACACUUUUGGAACACGCCACCUCCAGACGCAUUAACAUGCACUCCCCUAACUUUCCCCUAAUCUGACAUUGUAUUUCAUUCCAUAACAUCUUAUCAACAGAGAAAAUGAAGGGUAAUCAAAUAAUAAAACAUGUCACUCAUAUCA